Long non-coding RNA from Daphnia pulicaria, 119 nucleotides. RefSeq lists it as uncharacterized. The transcript is spliced from 3 exons. Lineage: Eukaryota; Metazoa; Arthropoda; Branchiopoda; Diplostraca; Daphniidae. The record is from RefSeq and is a predicted model, not a curated record.
GAUACGCCAAAGGAGAAGAGGCUCUGAGAAAACUUGACCAUCCAAAUGUCGUCAAACUAUAUCACGUUGAAAGCGACCUUGAUUUCAGAUAUCAUGUGCUGGAACUGUGCCAAUUAUCG